GAUGAACGCUGGCGGCGUGCUUAACACAUGCAAGUCGAACGAAGCAUUUGCGACAGAUUUUUUCGGAAUGAAGUUGCUUAUGACUGAGUGGCGGACGGGUGAGUAACGCGUGGGUAACCUGCCUUGUACUGGGGGAUAGCAGCUGGAAACGGCUGGUAAUACCGCAUAAGCGCACAAUGUUGCAUGACAUGGUGUGAAAAACUCCGGUGGUAUAAGAUGGACCCGCGUCUGAUUAGCUAGUUGGUGAGAUAACAGCCCACCAAGGCGACGAUCAGUAGCCGACCUGAGAGGGUGACCGGCCACAUUGGGACUGAGACACGGCCCAGACUCCUACGGGAGGCAGCAGUGGGGAAUAUUGCACAAUGGAGGAAACUCUGAUGCAGCGACGCCGCGUGAGUGAAGAAGUAAUUCGUUAUGUAAAGCUCUAUCAGCAGGGAAGAUAGUGACGGUACCUGACUAAGAAGCUCCGGCUAAAUACGUG
Molecule: ribosomal RNA, 481 nt
Filed under: uncultured bacterium
Lineage: Bacteria
Description: partial 16S ribosomal RNA
Rfam family: Bacterial small subunit ribosomal RNA
Source: RNAcentral